RNAcentral lists this ribosomal RNA (386 nucleotides) under uncultured prokaryote. RNAcentral describes it as "partial 16S ribosomal RNA". The record is from RNAcentral.
CCCUACGGGGCGCAGCAGGUUUUCAGGUAUGCUGACAUUGAUUCUCCUGGUUCUGUUCUUGAAAGCUGACAAGUCAACAUCGACCAUAACCCAUAGUCCACCUGCAAAGUCAGGAUUAUUUGCCAACAAUUCGAUACUCGAAGGUUCUGGUAUCUUAUCGCCUUCGUCAAGGUGGCAUUCUAUGGCCUCCUGAACGCUUUUAAUCGCUUCGUCAAAAGUCUCGCCAGCGGUAAAGCAUCCAGGGAAAUCGGGGAUGGUAACUCCGAACGAGCUUUUACCUUCUUUGUGUAUAACAACAGGGAACAGCAUUUAUUACCUCCAGCUCCAGCCUGCUUGCCUGAAUGUGCUACGUAAAGCUCCGAGCGGAAUGUCUUUGGCGGGGGAGC